RNAcentral lists this long non-coding RNA (1122 nucleotides) under Nicotiana benthamiana. RNAcentral's name for it is "long non-coding RNA (NBEN_LNC019912)". The record is from RNAcentral. Lineage: Eukaryota; Viridiplantae; Streptophyta; Magnoliopsida; Solanales; Solanaceae.
CAAUAGUUAUUACAAAUUAUUAUAGACCAAAAUGAACCAGAAAAAGUGAAAAUUAUAUCAGAAAUUCAAGCUACAACUAAACAGCCUAAUUCAGACUCAAGGUCUAACAAUAUGAGAUUAACCAACUUCCAGGAUCAGAUUUCCAAAAGCCUCUCUCUUAUUUGAGAUGUGUCCAAGUUCCCAAAAGUCUCAAAGGGCCCCGGGCAGUGCUUACACCCAAAAUACAUUGCAGAAUUAAAUCAGAGUGCAGUGUGGAAGGGCCAGCCCUCAAAUGUCUAAGUUCAAAGGAAACUCAAGGUCCCAAAGCAAGGCUCAUAAGAGGGGGCCAGAACUUAGAGUGUAAAAGUAAGUGCAAGUGCAUAAAGAGGGAAUUUGGGAAAGCCAUGGCAGGCUGGUGGUCAUGCACAGCAAUUAGGAGUGCUGGCACACCCCUGACCAGUCUGUUAGCCCAAUCUUAGGAGUUAGGAUCCGUUGUGGAUCAGGUUAUGACCUGGGCAAUAAUUUGGAUACUGGCAGACCAAGAAACUUAACUCAAACACAUAGAAGGGAAUAUGGGGUAGGGAUUCUCGAUAGAAUUAGAUGCAAGGAAAAUACAUACAUAGUCUAAUCACUGAACAGCAAUAGCAAAGUAAACACGAAUGCUGAAACUAUGAAGUAAACACAUAGGUGUGAAGCAGAAAAUAAAAUUAGAACAUACCAGUUUCAGGAAAAAACAAGUAAAAACAAAAGUCUUAUAAAAUCCAAGUUGCAAGCAAAACAGCUCUGAAAGAUCUCAAGAAAAAGCAGAAUGUUGAAAGAAUAUUGAACUCAAAGCAUUAAGUGUGGGAGAGUAUUGAAUUGGAAGUUAGGGAUGAUCAUAUUGACGGUGUGUGAAGAGUGCAGAAUGGCAGUCCCUUUUAUCGUGCAGAAAACAAGUAAGAAAGGUAAGGAAACAACAUUAAAAUUAAUCUCCCUUUAGAUAAGGAAUUCUAAUUUCAAUGGGUAACAACCAAUUAAGGAAAGAAGUUUUGAUUAAAACCUUAUCAAAGUAACGCAAAAUGGGAAAAAUACACAGAAGUCAUUUAAGGAAAACAUUCAACGUUACAUGGCUUGUGACAAAUAUGGAAAGGGAAUCAAUCAAAC